RNAcentral lists this transfer RNA (69 nucleotides) under Fasciola gigantica. RNAcentral describes it as "tRNA-Glu". The record is from RNAcentral. Lineage: Eukaryota; Metazoa; Platyhelminthes; Trematoda; Plagiorchiida; Fasciolidae.
GGUUGUAGUCAAGUUGUUUAGAACGUCUAGUUUUCCCCUGGAAGGUCGUAGGUUCGAGUCCCGCCACCA